This is a long non-coding RNA of Anolis carolinensis (green anole), 206 nucleotides long. It matches the Rfam family "Rhabdomyosarcoma 2 associated transcript conserved region 6". The record is from Rfam. NCBI's taxonomy places the organism in Eukaryota, Metazoa, Chordata, Lepidosauria, Squamata, Anolidae.
GGAUGAUUGAUCGUGCCCGCCAGCUGCCUAAUAUCAUAAUUAACAAAGUUGCUACCGUGUCUGAGAAGUUUAAUCGAAAAAAAUUGCUAGCAGUCCGAUGCUGUUGAUGCCGAUGAGGUGAGAAGUAUGGCAAAGUUGACUUUUGGACUAAUGGAUCUGCAGAACUAUGUGGGCAGAAUAAGAAAUAGUGCACCUGAAUUGCUAAU